GAUAGUGGCGAACGGGUGAGUAACACGUGGGCAAUCUGCCCUGCACUCUGGGACAAGCCCUGGAAACGGGGUCUAAUACCGGAUAUUGACCUUCACGGGCAUCUGUGAGGUUCGAAAGCUCCGGNGGUGCAGGAUGAGCCCGCGGCCUAUCAGCUUGUUGGUGAGGUAAUGGCUCACCAAGGCGACGACGGGUAGCCGGCCUGAGAGGGCGACCGGCCACACUGGGACUGAGACACGGCCCAGACUCCUACGGGAGGCAGCAGUGGGGAAUAUUGCACAAUGGGCGAAAGCCUGAUGCAGCGACGCCGCGUGAGGGAUGACGGCCUUCGGGUUGUAAACCUCUUUCAGCAGGGAAGAAGCGAAAGUGACGGUACCUGCAGAAGAAGCGCCGGCUAACUACGUGCCAGCAGCCGCGGUAAUACGUAGGGCGCAAGCGUUGUCCGGAAUUAUUGGGCGUAAAGAGCUCGUAGGCGGCUUGUCACGUCGGUGGUGAAGCCGGGGCUUAACCCCGGGUCUGCAGUCNAUACGG
Molecule: ribosomal RNA, 529 nt
Filed under: bacterium MVII.04
Lineage: Bacteria
Description: bacterial SSU rRNA
Rfam family: Bacterial small subunit ribosomal RNA
Source: RNAcentral